UACGUAGGGUGCAAGCGUUGUCCGGAAUUAUUGGGCGUAAAGAGCUCGUAGGCGGUUCGUCGCGUCGGCUGUGAAAUCCCGAGGCUCAACCUCGGGUCUGCAGUCGAUACGGGCGGACUGGAGUACUGCAGGGGAGACUGGAAUUCCUGGUGUAGCGGUGAAAUGCGCAGAUAUCAGGAGGAACACCGGUGGCGAAGGCGGGUCUCUGGGCAGUUACUGACGCUGAUGCGCGAAAGCCAGGGGAGCGAACGGG
This 253-nucleotide ribosomal RNA is filed under the name uncultured bacterium. Its description in RNAcentral is "partial 16S ribosomal RNA". It matches the Rfam family "Bacterial small subunit ribosomal RNA", at positions 524 to 776 of the family's 1533-position model. The record is from RNAcentral.